GACGAACCGUGCGAACGUUGUUCGGAAUCACUGGGCAUAAAGGGCGCGUAGGCGGCUUUUCAAGUCAGGGGUGAAAUCCGGCAGCUCAACUGUCGAAGUGCCUUUGAUACUGAGAAGCUCGAGGGAGGUAGGGGUGUGCGGAACUUCCGGUGGAGCGGUGAAAUGCGUUGAUAUCGGAAGGAACGCCGGUGGCGAAAGCGGCGCACUGGACCUCUUCUGACGCUGAGGCGCGAAAGCCAGGGGAGCAAACGGG
RNAcentral lists this ribosomal RNA (253 nucleotides) under uncultured bacterium. RNAcentral's name for it is "partial 16S ribosomal RNA". It matches the Rfam family "Bacterial small subunit ribosomal RNA", at positions 524 to 776 of the family's 1533-position model. The record is from RNAcentral.